GCGGCCGUACUCCCCAGGCGGAGUGCUUAAUGCGUUAGCUGCAGCACUAAAGGGCGGAAACCCUCUAACACUUAGCACUCAUCGUUUACGGCGUGGACUACCAGGGUAUCUAAUCCUGUUUGCUCCCCASCUUUCGCGCCUCAGCGUCAGUUACAGACCAGAAAGUCGCCUUCGCCACUGGUGUUCCUCCACAUCUCUACGCAUUUCACCGCUACACGUGGAAUUCCASUUUCCUCUUCUGUACUCAAGUCCCCCAGUUUCCAAUGACCCUCCACGGUUGAGCCGUGGGCUUUCACAUCAGACUUAAAGGACCGCCUGCGCGCGCUUUACGCCCAAUAAUUCCGGACAACGCUUGCCACCUACGUAUUACCGCGGCUGCUGGCACGUAGUUAGCCGUGGCUUUCUGGUUAGGUACCGUCAAGGUACCGGCAGUUACUCCGGUACUUGUUCUUCGCCUAACAACAGAACUUUACGACCCGAAAGCCUUCAUCGUUCGCGCGGCGUUGCUCCGUCAG
RNAcentral lists this ribosomal RNA (515 nucleotides) under uncultured bacterium. Its description in RNAcentral is "partial 16S ribosomal RNA". The record is from RNAcentral.